CCUGGAGUAUGUUUGUCUCCUUCUUGGUACCAGCAGGGGCAGGUGACUGGAACCGGACCCCUUAGGAUCAGAUAUCCUAACAUAUCUGGUGCGUUGGCCGGGAAACCCACCUCUCCUGCUGUUUGAUCUUGAAGGCCAGGCUCGACUGGACGAACAGCUUGGAUCGGCGUAGGAGGUUCCAGCGCGCGCCCGCCAGUUGCGGGAGGAUUCCCUCACUCCGUUCCUGAGUGGAGACGUCCGGUCGUGGGAGAAAAAGGGAUCGGCCGAGGGAGGACACAGGGUGUGUCUCAGGACAUAGAGGUAAGCUCUUGGGAAAGAAAAGAGCAGGAGAUCUGAUCAAUCUCACCUGGAGUGUGGCAAUUAAGUGCCCCCAGGAAGGCUUGGCUGGGACAGUGAGGUCCUGCUGCCAGUGUGUGGGAAAGGAAAAGGGUAAAAAAGGGGGGGUCCCUUUGCCAGUCUGUGGAAAGGGAAAAAGGGUGGAGGUGGACUGUGAGGGUGUGGAGGUGAACUGUGUGUUGUAUGACCAAAUACUCCAGUGAAAGGAUGAAUGUGUGAGAGGUCGGGGCUUAGCGUCUCCGUGGCCAAGCGUGUCUAGGGCUGUACUCGUCUAAGCCACAGGCUGUAGUGUGUGAAGUGGGCAAGGUGUUGAUUUUGGCUAGGAGCGGAGUAUUCUGGUAAACAUGGGUUCAGGAAACAGUAAAUGUACCCCUUUGGAAUGCUUCCUGAACAACUGGAAAUUGGCCACGAAAAAUGACGACUGGGGGUUCAAAUUGAAGAAGGAGAGGCUUAGGACCCUUUGUGAAGUGGACUGGCCGACGCAGGGCACUGCCUGGCCGUCCCAAGGCAGUUUUGAGGGGCGGUUGAUCAAUCCCUUGCUGCAGAGAAUAAUUGAAGACCAUCCAGAUCAAAUUCCCUAUAUUUCCACGUGGAAAACCAAUGUGGAUAAAAACCCCCCUUGGCUGCAGGCUUGCCGAACUGCUCCAGCAAAGGCAAGGAUCUGUGCUGUCCGGCAGCAGAAAUUACCUCUUGUGGUUCAGGACACAGAAGAGGAAUUAGCUGUGAGACCACCUCCUUAUAGACCCCCAAUACCGGCAGUACCACAGAAUGGCCCACCCCUGCAGAAUAACCUCCAGAAUAAUCCCCCCAACCCAGUUGGUGGCAGCCCUAUCAACCCAAGCCCUGAGGAUAAAGACCCCACCAAAUCAGAGACAGCUAAGGAGGAUGAAAGUGAUGAUGAUGAGGGGGAUGAGGAGACACUGUUAAAGAUGUUGGAAAAGAAGGUACAGAAGGGGAGAAGUGGAGUAAGAAGCAAGACAAAUGGAUAAAGGACUAUGUAGACCCCUAUAAAGACCAAGUGGAUGUUAGUCCCCACCUCUUAGAAGUGGCACGUUGUGAGGAUGGGCACUGGAAAAAGAAACAAAAGAGGUGGCUGGAGGCAGCACGUAGAGCCGCCACCCACCAUGAGAGAGAGAGAGAGAAGAAAGAUCAGGCUACAGCCUUGAUGCCCCUCCGGGUAGUUUAUGACCCCCCAGGACCGCCAGGGGAGAAUGGGGCAGCAGCACCGCGCACCUACACAAUCCAACAUGUGCCUUUUUCAACUGCUGAUAUUUGCAAUUGGCGCAAUCAGAACCCUUCCUUUGAGGAGAACCCAGCCAAAAUCAUUAAACUUUUUGAAGGGAUCUUUAAGACUUAUGAUCCUACUUAUGAUGAUGUUCAAUAUCUUUUGGACUCUCUGUUAACAACGGAAGAAGUCCGGAGGGUCCAUAGUGAGGCAAGGGCGCAUCUGAGGCAGUUACAAUUAAAUGAUAACCAAAUAAAUGAUGCCUACCCCCGAGCCACUCCUAAUUGGGACUAUCAGGAUCAGAAUGCUCGGACUGCCCUGGCAACAUACAGGAACCAUGUACUGGCAGGAAUGAGGAGGGCAGCUAGGAAGCCUACUAACUUGGCUAAGGUGGCUGAGGUGGUCCAGAAAUCAGAUGAGUCGCCAGGGGUUUAUUUGGAGCGUCUGAAGGAAGCCUACCGGCAGUUUACCCCUCUGGACCCAGACGAUCCUGCCAAUGCUCCGGUUGUUAAGGCAGCCUUUGUGGCCCAAGCCACUCCCGAUAUUCGCAGAAAAAUUCAAAAACCGAAGGGUUUUUAGGACAUGGGCUGGAGUGGAUGUUAGAGGUGGCACAAACCACGUAUAACCAGAGAGAUGAGGUAGCCCAGAAGAAGAAAGAAAAUUACCAGGCUAAGAAACUCAUGGCUCUGCGCGCCAGCAACAGCGGCACGGGGGAACCUGCCCGGGAGGAGGGCGCGGCCGCCUGGGACGCAACCAGUGCGCCAUCUGCCGCCAAGAGGGCCACUGGAAGAACGAAUGCCCUCAGGGAAGGACUGGAGGCAGGGGAGGCCGGAUUCCUGGCACCAUCCCCAUGGGAGAUGGCACUGACUUAAGACCCUGGGCUGCGCCUGGGGACCCUCCAGGGGACGAGGAAGGGGAAGAGGAGGCCUUUGGUACCCGCCUGGGAACCGAGGACAGGCUGAAGCCAUGAGCCUGCAGCAACACCAGGAUGAAUAUUAGGACAGACCGGGCCCAACUAAUUUAGGUUCCCGUGAGCCCAUGGUCAAAAUGCAAGCAGGGAACCACAUGAUUCCUUUUAUGGUUGACACAGGCGCGGCUUACUCGGUCGUCCCAACCCCCGUUGCAAAACUAACUACAGAAUUCAUUAAUAUAGUGGGAGCCACUGGAAAGUCCCAGCAGGCACCAUUUCUACAACCGGUCACCUGCAAAUUAGGAGGCCAAGUGGUGCAGCAUAAUUUUCUGUAUGUUCCUGAAUGCCCUAUUCCAUUGCUGGGAAGAGACUUGUUGUCCAAAUUACAAGCCCAGAUCACUUUUAAACCAUCCGGAGAGGCCACCAUGUCCACAAUGCCACCUGGAGAAUUGGUUGUGGAAGCACCCCUGAGGGAGUAUUGGCGCCUCAUGAUGAUAAAAGAAGAGGAGGGGCCCAUUCCAACCAGCCUCUUAGAACAAGUAAAUCCUGAAGUAUGGGCUGAAGGCAACCCUCCUGGCAUGGCUAAAAAUAUACCCCCAAUAAUUGUAAGGACGAAGCCCUUCGUGAAUCCGGUGGCUGUGAACCAGUACCCCAUCCCUCGAGCGGCAGCAGAAGGAGUGUGGACUCACCUGCAUAGGCUCCUACAACAUGGCAUCUUGAAGCCCUGUCAAUCCCAGUGGAACACUCCCUUGCUUCCAGUAAAGAAAGAGGGAGGUGGCUACCGUCCGGUCCAAGAUCUGAGGCUGGUGAAUUCAGCUGUGGAAACCCUCCACCCCAACGUCCCCAAUCCUUACACUCUGCUGAGUUUAAUCCCCCCUGAUGCGAAAUACUUCUCUGUACUCGACUUGAAAGACGCGUUCUUUUGCUGCCGCCUAGCGGAGGGGAGCCAGCACUUAUUCGCUUUCCAAUGGAUUGACCCAGUCACAGGCACUAAAACUCAAUACACUUGGACGCGCCUCCCGCAGGGCUUCAAGAAUUCACCAACUCUUUUGGGGUAGCUCUAGCAUCGGACCUUGCCAGUUUCCCCACUACUCCCAGUAAGAUUGUGUUGCAGUAUUUCGACGAUCUCUUAGUGGCCUGCGUGGACGAAAGCGCGUGCUACGAAGCCACACGGGACCUCUUAAAUCACCUGGCUGAAGCAGGCUACCGAGUCUCCAAGUCUAAGGCUCAAAUUUGUAAGACAACUGUCAAGUAUCUUGGCUUUGACAUCUCUCACCAGCGACGGACCUUAAGGGAUGAACGCAAGCAGGCAAUCACUCGGAUCCCAGAGCCACGAAACCGGAAGGAGCUCCGCGGUUUCUUGGGAUCUGCGGGUUUUUGCAGAAUUUGGAUUCCCAACUACAGCGAAAUUGCACGGCCGCUGCAUGAGUCUACUAGAGGAACAGAGAAGGAUCCCUUUAUCUGGGGCCCUGAGCAGCAACAAGCCUUCCAAGGCCUCAAGACGGCCCUACAACAGGCCCCAGCACUGGGAAUCCCAAACCCAGAGAAGCCAUUUACCCUCUAUGUGGAUGAGGACCAAGGAACAGCGAAAGGGGUCCUUUGCCAGAAACUAGGAAGUUGGCAACAGCCUAUAGCCUAUUUGUCUGAAAGGCUGACCACCACGGAGCAAGGCCUGCCCCCCUGCAUGCGGGCAGUAGUAGCAGUGGCCUGCUUGCUUAAUAAGGCUGACAAGUUUGCCUUUGGACAAGACAUCACAUGUGUUACCCCACACGCAGUACCCGCCCUACUGGAUAUGAAGGGCACUUACUUCCUAUCCCAAGCUAAGAUGAUGAAGUGCCAGACUUUGCUGAUGCACCCACGCUUGAAGUUCCGUGUCACAGAGGCCCUCAACCCAGCUACUCUGUUACCUGUAGGAGAGGAAGAGGAGCCAGCCCACGAUUGCAUACAGGUCAUGGACGAAGUCUACUCCAGUAGACCAGACCUUAAGGAUGAAGCCAAUCCAGCGUGGCCUUCCUGGUUUGUGGAUGGCAGCAGCUUCGUGGAAGAGGGACAACGGAGAGCAGGAUAUGCCAUCGUGGCCCUCGAGGAUGUAGUCAUUGAAGCCUGCCCCCUCCCACCAGGAACAUCAGCUCAACUGGCAGAAAUUACUGCUUUGACACGAGCCCUGCGCCUGGCUGAAGGUACAGAUAUUAACAUCUAUACGGACUCUAAGUAUGCUUUUCUUACCCUGCACGCUCAUGGCGCCCUCUGGAGAGAACGAGGACUGCUGACCUCGAAAGGGAGCCCUGUGGCCCACCCACAAGCACUCUUGGAUCUCUUGGAUGCAGUGUGGGCACCCCGCCAAGUGGCCGUUGUCCACUGCUACGGCCACCGGACAGGAUCCAGUGAUGAUGCCCGAGGAAAUCGUUUGGCAGAUCGAAUAGCCAAAGAGGCGGCGCGACGGCCAAACCCGGCCCCCCUCGUUGCUGCCUUGAUACCUGAGCAAGUCUUGGACACCAGCCUCAAGCCCCACUAUACCACCCAGGAGGAAAUGACAGCCAACACUGAGGGACUGGACAUUUCAAAGGAUGGCUGGUACCUUACCCCAGAUGACCGCGUGUGGGUCCCGGAAUCCCUAGCCCGCCAAGUGGUUCAGCGCUACCACGAUUCCUUACAUGUAGGACCAGAUGCCAUGACCAAGCAGCUGGGAAAGUGUUUUACAUCUCCAAGCUCUAUCAACUGGCUUCACAAGUCUCUAAGCGUUGUGCCCUAUGCCAGAAGAACAACCCUAGGGCCGGCCUUCUGCCUCCUCCAGGAGUUCAACAUUGUGGCACAGCACCCAUGGAAGAUUUGGUUGUGGACUUUACCGAGCUGCCCCGUUGUGGCCUAUAUCGUUACCUCCUUGUGGCUGUGUGCACUUAUACAGGGUGGGUGGAGGCCUGGCCCACCAAGACUGAGCGGUCAUCUGAAGUUGCUAGGUGUCUGCUCCGGAAAUCAUUCCCCGCUAUGGCUUGCCUCGCUCCAUAGGGUCGGACAAUGGUCCAGCUUUUGUGCACAAAGUUUUGCAGGAGAUAGCUAAGCUCUUGCAGAUAAAUUGGAAGUUACAUAGUGCAUACCGACCCCAGAGUUCUGGAAAAGUAGAGAGGAUGAACAGGACUUUGAAAAAUCAACUGUCCAAAUUGACACAGGAGACAGGGUCCAAUUGGGUAGCGAUGUUGCCCCUCGCCCUGCUCCGGGUUCGAAGUCUCCCAUCCAAGCGAACCCAUCUCUCUCCCUUUGAACUGAUGUUUGGGAGACCUGUUCCCUAUGUACGCAUGAUUUCCCCCACCCCGGUCCAGGAUGUUGAAACAGAUCAUUAUGUGCAGUCACUCUCCCGCACUUUUCUUUCUCUCAACAGGUGGACCCAGGCUCGUACCCCGUGUGUGUUAGUCGAACCCCUACACCGUUUCGAGCCGGGCGAUGAUGUGUGGGUAAAAGACUGGGCCCAAACUCCGCUACAGCCUUGCUGGAAGGGUCCCUACACUGUGCUUCUCUCUACACCCACUGCUGUCAAGGUUGCUGGCAUCGCCCCUUGGGUCCACCAUACUCGUGUGAAGGCAGCAUCUUCAGACUGGACUGUGUCUCCUAACCCGCAAGAUCCUCUUCGGCUGACCAUCUCCAGGCGCCCGACGGACGACUGCCCUGCUGCUGUCACUCCGGGAAGCUGAUAGCUCUACGCACGGCCGAAGAUAAGGAUGGGAGGGGUACCCAACGCCAGUACCCCCAACGUUCCUGAUAGCCAAGCCCUUCCCCACGCCCCUAUCAUGCCUGAUAUGUGGUGGGAGGAGUCCUGGACUCCCGGGGCUUGGUGGGCUUGGGUUCUGUGUAUGCCCCUGAUUUUCUUGAUGCUUUUGUAUUUCUGCUGGCAUGAACGCCCCCGUAUGUGUGGUAGGCCCCCUGGUGCUUUUACUGCUUCUCUGCUUCUGUAUUCCCUGCUUGAUGCAAUGCAUGCAGAAUAUGAUGGAGAAAAUGAUGUCUCGCAUGAUGGGCCCCCGUGUGAUAGCUUACCUGAGGGAGUAUCGCCCUAUCCCUGUUGAUGCACCUGGCGGUGAUCAAGAAGAAGAGGAGGGAGUGAAGGAAGAGGAGUGAAGAGAUGGGGGG
RNAcentral lists this long non-coding RNA (6590 nucleotides) under Podarcis lilfordi (Lilford's wall lizard). Lineage: Eukaryota; Metazoa; Chordata; Lepidosauria; Squamata; Lacertidae. The record is from RNAcentral.